Molecule: ribosomal RNA, 231 nt
Filed under: uncultured bacterium
Lineage: Bacteria
Description: partial 16S ribosomal RNA
Rfam family: Bacterial small subunit ribosomal RNA
Source: RNAcentral
ACGGUGAGUAACACGUAUCCAACCUGCCGUCUACUCUUGGACAGCCUUCUGAAAGGAAGAUUAAUACAAGAUGGCAUCAUGAGUCCGCAUGUUCACAUGAUUAAAGGUAUUCCGGUAGACGAUGGGGAUGCGUUCCAUUAGAUAGUAGGCGGGGUAACGGCCCACCUAGUCUUCGAUGGAUAGGGGUCCUGAGAGGAAGGUCCCCCACAUUGGAACUGAGACACGGUCCAA